Molecule: non-coding RNA, 305 nt
Organism: Pelobates cultripes (western spadefoot toad)
Lineage: Eukaryota; Metazoa; Chordata; Amphibia; Anura; Pelobatidae
Source: the annotation of a GenBank genome assembly
AUUCCUUCUAAUCCUUAAAAAUUGGCCUCUUGGUGCAUUCUCCAGCCACGGGUUAUGGUGGCAACUAUUUCUUUCUAUAUACCCGUUGGCAUCCACUGGUUUAAAAAAGUUUUUUGUAUUGAUCUUAUCUUCCUCUAUAUAAAUGUGCAAAUCCAAGAAAUUAAUUUUAACUUCACUAAUACAGCUCGUUAAGUGAAUCCCCCAAUCAUUUGAGUUAAGAUACGUAAUGAAGUCAUCCAAUUGAUCAUGGUUGCCUGUCCAAAUAAAAAAUAUGUCAUCUAUGUAACAGCGAUAGGACACCAAGU